GACGUAGGAGGCGAGCGUUGUCCGGAUUCAUUGGGCGUAAAGAGCGCGCAGGCGGCUUGGUAAGUCGGAUGUGAAAUCCCCAGGCUUAACCUGGGAACUGCAUCCGAUACUGGAUGGCUUGAAUCCGGGAGAGGGAUGCGGAAUUCCAGGUGUAGCGGUGAAAUGCGUAGAUAUCUGGAGGAACACCGGUGGCGAAGGCGGCAUCCUGGACCGGCAUUGACGCUGAGGAGCGAAAGCCAGGGGAGCAAACAGG
This 253-nucleotide ribosomal RNA is filed under the name uncultured bacterium. Its description in RNAcentral is "partial 16S ribosomal RNA". It matches the Rfam family "Bacterial small subunit ribosomal RNA", at positions 524 to 776 of the family's 1533-position model. The record is from RNAcentral.